GAUGAACGCUGGCGGCGUGCCUAAUACAUGCAAGUCGAACGAAACUUCUUUAUCACCGAGUGCUUGCACUCACCGAUAAAGAGUUGAGUGGCGAACGGGUGAGUAACACGUGGGCAACCUGCCCAAAAGAGGGGGAUAACACUUGGAAACAGGUGCUAAUACCGCAUAACCAUAGUUACCGCAUGGUAACUAUGUAAAAGGUGGCUAUACUACCGCUUUUGGAUGGGCCCGCGGCGGAUUAGCUAGUUGGUAGGGUAAAGGCUUACCAAGGCAAUGAUGCGUAGCCGAAUUGAGAGGUUGAUCGGCCACAUUGGAACUGAGACACGGCCCAGACUCCUACGGGAGGCAGCAGUAGGGAAUCUUCCACAAUGGGCGAAAGCCUGAUGGAGCAACGCCGCGUGGGUGAAGAAGGUCUUCGGAUCGUAAAGCCCUGUUGUUAGGGAAGAAAGUGCGUGAGAGUAACUGUUCACGUUUCGACGGUAUCUAACCAGAAAGCCACUGCUAACUACGUG
RNAcentral lists this ribosomal RNA (512 nucleotides) under uncultured bacterium. Its description in RNAcentral is "partial 16S ribosomal RNA". It matches the Rfam family "Bacterial small subunit ribosomal RNA", at positions 28 to 507 of the family's 1533-position model. The record is from RNAcentral.